Molecule: ribosomal RNA, 347 nt
Filed under: uncultured soil bacterium
Lineage: Bacteria
Description: bacterial SSU rRNA
Rfam family: Bacterial small subunit ribosomal RNA
Source: RNAcentral
AGAUUGAACGCUGGCGGCAUGCCUUACACAUGCAAGUCGAACGGCAGCACGGGAGCAAUCCUGGUGGCGAGUGGCGAACGGGUGAGUAAUACAUCGGAACGUGCCCAAUCGUGGGGGAUAACGCAGCGAAAGCUGUGCUAAUACCGCAUAAGAUCUACGGAUGAAAGCAGGGGAUCGCAAGACCUUGCGCGAAUGGAGCGGCCGAUGGCAGAUUAGGUAGUUGGUGGGUAAAGGCUCACCAAGCCUUCGAUCUGUAGCUGGUCUGAGAGGACGACCAGCCACACGUGGGACUGACGACGACGGCCCAGACCUCCGUACGGGGAGCAGGCAGGUAGGGUAAUUUGGAC